UACGUAGGGUGCGAGCGUUAAUCGGAAUUACUGGGCGUAAAGCGUGCGCAGGCGGUUAUGCAAGACAGAUGUGAAAUCCCCGGGCUCAACCUGGGAACUGCAUUUGUGACUGCAUGGCUAGAGUACGGUAGAGGGGGAUGGAAUUCCGCGUGUAGCAGUGAAAUGCGUAGAUAUGCGGAGGAACACCGAUGGCGAAGGCAAUCACCUGGACCUGUACUGACGCUCAUGCACGAAAGCGUGGGGAGCAAACAGG
This 253-nucleotide ribosomal RNA is filed under the name uncultured bacterium. Its description in RNAcentral is "partial 16S ribosomal RNA". It matches the Rfam family "Bacterial small subunit ribosomal RNA", at positions 524 to 776 of the family's 1533-position model. The record is from RNAcentral.